GACGAACGCUGGCGGCGUGCCUAAUACAUGCAAGUCGAGCGGACAGAAGGGAGCUUGCUCCCGGAUGUUAGCGGCGGACGGGUGAGUAACACGUGGGUAACCUGCCUGUAAGACUGGGAUAACUCCGGGAAACCGGAGCUAAUACCGGAUAGUUCCUUGAACCGCAUGGUUCAAGGAUGAAAGACGGUUUCGGCUGUCACUUACAGAUGGACCCGCGGCGCAUUAGCUAGUUGGUGGGGUAAUGGCUCACCAAGGCGACGAUGCGUAGCCGACCUGAGAGGGUGAUCGGCCACACUGGGACUGAGACACGGCCCAGACUCCUACGGGAGGCAGCAGUAGGGAAUCUUCCGCAAUGGACGAAAGUCUGACGGAGCAACGCCGCGUGAGUGAUGAAGGUUUUCGGAUCGUAAAGCUCUGUUGUUAGGGAAGAACAAGUGCGAGAGUAACUGCUCGCACCUUGACGGUACCUAACCAGAAAGCCACGGCUAACUACGUGCCAGCAGCCGCGGUAAUACGUAGGUGGCAAGCGUUGUCCGGAAUUAUUGGGCGUAAAGGGCUCGCAGGCGGUUUCUUAAGUCUGAUGUGAAAGCCCCCGGCUCAACCGGGGAGGGUCAUUGGAAACUGGGAAACUUGAGUGCAGAAGAGGAGAGUGGAAUUCCACGUGUAGCGGUGAAAUGCGUAGAGAUGUGGAGGAACACCAGUGGCGAAGGCGACUCUCUGGUCUGUAACUGACGCUGAGGAGCGAAAGCGUGGGGAGCAAACAGGAUUAGAUUCCCUUA
RNAcentral lists this ribosomal RNA (779 nucleotides) under Bacillus sp. RI(2010). RNAcentral's name for it is "bacterial SSU rRNA". It matches the Rfam family "Bacterial small subunit ribosomal RNA", at positions 28 to 790 of the family's 1533-position model. Lineage: Bacteria; Bacillati; Bacillota; Bacilli; Caryophanales; Bacillaceae. The record is from RNAcentral.